RNAcentral lists this ribosomal RNA (328 nucleotides) under uncultured eukaryote. RNAcentral describes it as "partial 18S ribosomal RNA". It matches the Rfam family "Eukaryotic small subunit ribosomal RNA", at positions 1470 to 1796 of the family's 1831-position model. The record is from RNAcentral.
CCCUUAGAUGUCCGGGGCUGCACGCGCGCUACACUGAAGGAAUCAGCGUGCUAAAACCAUUGUCGAAAGGCAUUGGUAAACCCAUUAAAAUCCUACGUGAUUGGGAUCGGGAAUUGCAAUUAUUUCCCCUGAACGAGGAAUUCCCAGUAAGUGUGGGUCAUAAGCUCGCGUUGAUUACGUCCCUGCCCUUUGUACACACCGCCCGUCGCUGCCCGGGACUGAGCCGUUUCGAGAAAAGCGGGGACUGCUGCUGUCGGGGCUUUCGGGCCUUGGCUUCGGUGGAAACCGCUUUAAUCGCAGUGGCUUGAACCGGGCAAAAGUCGUANCA